UAACUUUCAACAACGGAUCUCUUGGCUCUCGCAUCGAUGAAGAACGCAGCGAAAUGCGAUACGUAAUGUGAAUUGCAGAAUUCAGUGAAUCAUCGAAUCUUUGAACGCACCUUGCGCCCCUUGGCAUUCCGAGGGGCACACCCGUUUGAGUGUCGUGA
RNAcentral lists this ribosomal RNA (158 nucleotides) under Russula lepida. RNAcentral's name for it is "5.8S ribosomal RNA". It matches the Rfam family "5.8S ribosomal RNA". From Rfam's summary of the family: 5.8S ribosomal RNA (5.8S rRNA) is a component of the large subunit of the eukaryotic ribosome. It is transcribed by RNA polymerase I as part of the 45S precursor that also contains 18S and 28S rRNA. Functionally, it is thought that 5.8S rRNA may be involved in ribosome translocation. The record is from RNAcentral. Lineage: Eukaryota; Fungi; Basidiomycota; Agaricomycetes; Russulales; Russulaceae.